CCCUCCCUCUGGCGGCAUGCCUAACACAUGCAAGUCGAACGAGACCUUCGGGUCUAGUUGCGCACGGGUGCGUAACGCGUGGGAACCUGCCCUUAUGUUCGGAAUAACUCCCCGAAAGGGGUGCUAAUACCGGAUAAUGUCUUCUGACCAAAGAUUUAUCGCCUUUGGAUGGGCCCGCGUUGUAUUAGCUAGUUGGUAGUGUAAAAGCCUACCACGGCGACGAUCCAUAGCUGGUCUGAGAGGAUGAUCAGCCACACUGGGACUGAGACACGGCCCAGACUCCUACGGGAGGCAGCAGUGGGGAAUAUUGGACAAUGGGCGAAAGCCUGAUCCAGCAAUGCCGCGUGAGUGAUGAAGGCCUUAGGGUUGUAAAGCUCUUUUACCCGGGAUGAUAAUGACAGUACCGGGAGAAUAAGCGCCGGCUAACUCCGUG
This 433-nucleotide ribosomal RNA is filed under the name uncultured bacterium. RNAcentral's name for it is "partial 16S ribosomal RNA". It matches the Rfam family "Bacterial small subunit ribosomal RNA", at positions 36 to 507 of the family's 1533-position model. The record is from RNAcentral.